Molecule: ribosomal RNA, 465 nt
Filed under: Vreelandella stevensii
Lineage: Bacteria; Pseudomonadati; Pseudomonadota; Gammaproteobacteria; Oceanospirillales; Halomonadaceae
Description: partial 16S ribosomal RNA
Rfam family: Bacterial small subunit ribosomal RNA
Source: RNAcentral
CCUACGGGGGGCUGCAGUGGGGAAUAUUGGACAAUGGGGGCAACCCUGAUCCAGCCAUGCCGCGUGUGUGAAGAAGGCCCUCGGGUUGUAAAGCACUUUCAGUGAGGAAGAACGCCUGGUGGUUAAUACCCAUCAGGAAAGACAUCACUCACAGAAGAAGCACCGGCUAACUCCGUGCCAGCAGCCGCGGUAAUACGGAGGGUGCGAGCGUUAAUCGGCAUUACUGGGCGUAAAGCGCGCGUAGGUGGCUUGAUAAGCCGGUUGUGAAAGCCCCGGGCUCAACCUGGGAACGGCAUCCGGAACUGUCAAGCUAGAGUGCAGGAGAGGAAGGUAGAAUUCCCGGUGUAGCGGUGAAAUGCGUAGAGAUCGGGAGGAAUACCAGUGGCGAAGGCGGCCUUCUGGACUGACACUGACACUGAGGUGCGAAAGCGUGGGUAGCAAACAGGAUUAGAUACCCCGGUAGUC